UACGUAGGGGGCGAGCGUUAUCCGGAUUCAUUGGGCGUAAAGCGCGCGUAGGCGGCCGCCUAAGCGGAACCUCUAACCCCGGGGCUCAACCUCGGGCCGGGUUCCGGACUGGGCGGCUCGAGUGCGGUAGAGGAGAGCGGAAUUCCCGGUGUAGCGGUGGAAUGCGCAGAUAUUAGGAGGAACACCAGUGGCGAAGGCGAGUUGCUGGACUGUAACUGACACUGAGGCACGAAAGCGUGGGGAGCAAACAGG
RNAcentral lists this ribosomal RNA (252 nucleotides) under uncultured Adlercreutzia sp. RNAcentral's name for it is "partial 16S ribosomal RNA". It matches the Rfam family "Bacterial small subunit ribosomal RNA", at positions 524 to 776 of the family's 1533-position model. The record is from RNAcentral. Lineage: Bacteria; Bacillati; Actinomycetota; Coriobacteriia; Eggerthellales; Eggerthellaceae.